UAAAUGACAUAGACCAAAAAAAAAAAUACAAAAGAUCAAUGAAACCAAGAGCUGGUUCUUUGAAAGGAUAAACAAGAUUGACAAACCUCUAGCCAGGCUCACCAAGAA
Myotis brandtii (Brandt's bat) is the source of this 108-nucleotide long non-coding RNA. RefSeq lists it as uncharacterized. The record is from RefSeq and is a predicted model, not a curated record. The transcript has 2 exons. NCBI's taxonomy places the organism in Eukaryota, Metazoa, Chordata, Mammalia, Chiroptera, Vespertilionidae.